UUACAUGUAUGUACAGUAUCGAUUGAUCUUAUUGGUUGUCCAUGAAUGAAUAGGUGCUAUUUAAGAAAAUGUUUAUAAUACCUUAAGUCAUGGCUGCAUAUCACACCUGAGAAGGAAUAUUCAUUUCUUAAAACAAUGUGGAGUACAAGUGCACAUAUAGUUGUUAUCACAGCAAUAAUUUAUCUUCCACAAGUAAAUACAG
Molecule: long non-coding RNA, 202 nt
Filed under: Mytilus galloprovincialis (Mediterranean mussel)
Lineage: Eukaryota; Metazoa; Mollusca; Bivalvia; Mytilida; Mytilidae
Source: RNAcentral